AGAACGAACGCUGGCGGCAUGCCUAACACAUGCAAGUCGAACGCUCCUGGGGCUUCGGUCUCAGGGGAGUGGCGCACGGGUGAGUAGCGCGUGGGAACCUGCCCUGUUGUGGGGGAUAACCGAGGGAAACUUCGGCUAAUACCGCAUAAGCCGGUUGUCUUGAAAGAGAUGGCCGGGAAAGAUUUAUCGCGACAGGAGGGGCCCGCGUCGGAUUAGCUAGUUGGUGGGGUAACGGCCCACCAAGGCAGUGAUCCGUAGCUGGUCUGAGAGGAUGAUCAGCCACACUGGGACUGAGACACGGCCCAGACUCCUACGGGAGGCAGCAGUGGGGAAUAUUGGACAAUGGGCGCAAGCCUGAUCCAGCAAUGCCGCGUGAGUGAUGAAGGCCUUAGGGUUGUAAAGCUCUUUCGCCCGCGACGAUGAUGACGGUAGCGGGAGAAGAAGCCCGGCUAACUUCGUGCCAGCAGCCGCGGU
This 474-nucleotide ribosomal RNA is filed under the name uncultured bacterium. RNAcentral describes it as "SSU rRNA". It matches the Rfam family "Bacterial small subunit ribosomal RNA", at positions 26 to 521 of the family's 1533-position model. The record is from RNAcentral.